CCAGUGGUGGUUCAGUGGUAGAAUUCCCGCCUUGCAUUUGGGAGACCUGGGUUCAAGUCCUGGCCAAUGCA
RNAcentral lists this transfer RNA (71 nucleotides) under Loxodonta africana (African savanna elephant). It matches the Rfam family "tRNA". From Rfam's summary of the family: Transfer RNA (tRNA) molecules are approximately 80 nucleotides in length. Their secondary structure includes four short double-helical elements and three loops (D, anti-codon, and T loops). The record is from Rfam by way of RNAcentral. Lineage: Eukaryota; Metazoa; Chordata; Mammalia; Proboscidea; Elephantidae.